GUACUCACUUUGGUAGCACACAUACUAAAUUUGGAAAUGGUACAGAGAAGAUUAACAUGGCCUUAGAUCAAGGACGAAAUACAAAUUUGUGAAGCAUUCCAUAUUUUA
Small nuclear RNA from Jaculus jaculus (lesser Egyptian jerboa), 108 nucleotides. The record is from Ensembl. NCBI's taxonomy places the organism in Eukaryota, Metazoa, Chordata, Mammalia, Rodentia, Dipodidae.